This is a long non-coding RNA of Pantherophis guttatus, 424 nucleotides long. RefSeq lists it as uncharacterized. Lineage: Eukaryota; Metazoa; Chordata; Lepidosauria; Squamata; Colubridae. The record is from RefSeq and is a predicted model, not a curated record.
ACCCACCCAGACAUCAUCACAUCCCAUUAAUGCAAGUUUUUUGCACUCUGUGCAUGCACUGAAGGCCCUGCGCAUGUGCAGAUGUGACACAUUUGCGAACUGGUAUCGAAGUCAGCCUGGAUUUGGCAUUUUUGUCUGCCUAGCAAAUCCUUUCCAAGGACCUGGGAUAGGCAGAUGUCGAUGUUGGACGGUGUCACAGAUAUCGUUGCAGAAUGUAAGCUGUUCCAGAAUUUACUUUGGAAAAACUACUUGAUUUGCCUUCACUUGAUAAUGGAUGCAUACAGCAUUAUAAAUGGAUAUGUUUAUUUCUGUGUCAACUAAGGGUGAAGACAUACGGAGUUUGUGGGAAGAGAAUCUGGUUGUUUACAACCUACAGUGACCUUUUCAAUGUCUGAUGCUGGUGCUUGCCUGCAAAAACAAUAAA